UGACGAUUGAAAUGACAUUUUAAACUUAGUUUCACAACUUUUCAUAUCAAAAUACAUUGUUUUGAUGGAAAGACCUUCAAUUGUUCUCUGAACAAUUGGUUUUUAAUUAUGGCACCCUCAACGGAGUUGGGGUGACGUAUUGUUAUUCUACGUUUCUUUUUUUCUUAUUUUUCUUGCAACAAAUUUUGUGCCGCGAUUUCUCGAAAUCUAAUGGACCAAAGUUGAUGGAACUUUACUAUAUUAAGGACCCCCAUCUGCUGUGUUGCAGGAAGCAUGGAAUGGUUCAAGAUGGCUACCGUUACCAUGGAAACAGAACAAAUGUGAAAAAUUCCAGUUUUUGGUUUUGGUGAACUGUUUGGAGAUGCUUUAACUCAGAAUCAUUAUAUUUUAAUACAAUGUAGUUGCCCACUAUAUACAGGUGUUGGAUGAUUUUGGCACUCAUUGGAACUACUAUGUCGCCAUGGAAACAACACCAAAAAUUUAAAAAAUAUCAAAAUGCUCAAAACUUUUUGAAACUUCACAGUAACGAUGAACAACUUUGGAAGAUGUGAAAUUUGGCG
Molecule: long non-coding RNA, 560 nt
Filed under: Mytilus galloprovincialis (Mediterranean mussel)
Lineage: Eukaryota; Metazoa; Mollusca; Bivalvia; Mytilida; Mytilidae
Source: RNAcentral